This is a long non-coding RNA of Mustela erminea (ermine), 2095 nucleotides long. RefSeq lists it as uncharacterized. NCBI's taxonomy places the organism in Eukaryota, Metazoa, Chordata, Mammalia, Carnivora, Mustelidae. The transcript is spliced from 4 exons. The record is from RefSeq and is a predicted model, not a curated record.
UUUUCUGUGUCCUAGAAGAGGGGUUCAGAAGGAAUCAGGGAUUUGCCUAUGGUGGGGCAGGACUCCAAACCUCCUGACAGCCCUCAGUGCUCGUGUGCGCAGUUGUGCUGGUGGGGGCUGCCUCCGCGGGGAUUCCCUGACAGCCCUGCCUCCUCGCCCGACCUCUCUACUCCGCAGAGAACCACAGGAACAGCACCUUCCGAGGUGGGCAGGCUCCUGGGUUUGUCAUUUUUCCCUCAUUCCGUCUUAAUCCCUCUGAAUGUCAGCAACAGCCAGAAGAGCAACAGACUCUUCCAAAACGAAUCUUUCUCAUGUCUUCUUUGUCUUGUUUCCUUUGUGUGUCUGUCACUGAGUAAUACUUCCCGAGCCUACUCAGAGCGCUCAAGUCCCUGAGCCUGUAUUGAGGACAAACAAGAGAGCAAACCUGCCUCUGUGCCCACGGCCCUCUGACUGUGCAGAUGCUCAGUAGUAUGUCAUCAACAAGGACUGCAUGUGGCCCUCUUCCACGAACCAAGCAGCUCCCCACCAACAGCAAGAUCUGGGGGCGAGAGCCUGCCCGCUGCUCUCCGCGCAGUCGGAGAUGCUGUGAACAUCGAUGGUGGCAUCCACAGAACCCAGGUCUUACGACAGCUGGAAGAACACUGGCAAUGGAAAGCUGCCUGUCAAUCAUGUUCUCUUGAUAAGCACUAAGGACCAGCACAGCUCUUCUGAAGAGGAAGUGGAGCUUUGGCAGCAGAUACGAGAAGAGGAGAGUAAUAUUGUUUGCCCCAGUUUGAAGAUGACUGAUGUGAAGCACAGUGUUGAAGUUAUUGCAAAAGGCCGUGGAACCAGUGAUGAUUACAGGGCGGAUUUGACCCCCGAUGUGCCCUCUCUGUACUUGUGCUGACGUGAAUCAUGCAUCACUUGCUCCCAGUGAAUGCCACCCAGCCUGAUACCCUGUCACCAAGGGUGGUUUCACCACCACAAGAGGUGUGUAUUUUUUACUCCAGACCCCUAGAAUAUUCUGGCCCAAGAGCUAAGAACAUCACUUUGCAUCAGAAAGACCUGGAUACAAACAUUGUCUCAGCAAUUGACGAGUUGGGACACACGUCUAAGUUACUUACUUAAUCUUUCUGAGGACCAGUUUCCUUUUCUAUAAGUUUGGGCAACCCUCCCUACCUUAUAGGGUUGGUGGGAACAUGAAAACUAAGGAUGGUGAGACUUCUGUGUCAGGCUAAGACAGUGAUUCCCUAUGAAGCACACGAGUCCAGGUGUGAGGUCUGUACAUCCUGGUGUUUUUGCUCCAAAGAAGACCGUUUCCCUCAUUGUUAAGAGUUUCCAUUCAGAUGAGCUCAAUGGGAGAAGAUGGGCAUGAUCCUUUUCUUUGGUCAUCAUUGGCUUUUGCCCUCGUCCUCAGAAUACACAUUUUUCAUGUGAAAUCUGCUCUCGGCUCCACCAAUCAACCAAGAACCUAGGCUACCCUAGCGUCUCCUGCAGCUGUUUCCUUGGCAACCAGAGCCCAGCCAGAGAGCUCACCAAACCACAGUGGGACCAAGUGAACCCCUGUAGGAAUGUCCUCACCUUCCUUUUAAAACGCAAGAGACCACACCAGAGCCUCUUUCUCUUGCACUAAUGCCAACCCAGCUGCCAUCACUUCGUGUUUGUAGAACCCUGUCAUCUGGGCACCUCAAAGCAGAUACACGUUUGUGUCAUGGGUUUUUCCCUGUUGAGAUCAUCAUCAUUAUUCAUGUUAUUCCUGUAAGGAAUCACCUGUGAGAAAAAUCAAAGGAUUCUCCAAUGGGCUCUUUUGUUCUCCUUAUCUUUUUUUUUCUUUUUUAAACUCCGUGCAUGGCGCUCCCUCGCAGUUACUAUUGCAAAUGCUUGUAGGAAAAUGCCACACUACAGUGCUAAAAUGUUGGGGUGAAAAUCACAAGGUAUUGUACAGUUCCCCAGUUAGUAUAGCCCCAUUGACCUUCCACAGUAAUCAAAACUGAGCUCACCUGAUGUCCAAGCUGGGCGUUGUGGUUGUGGUUUAUUUUCUGUCUGACUCGGACCGUCCGUGAAGAGGGUUCACACAGCCCGCAAGAGUGUCUUUUCUCUGUCAACCACCCCUCAU